CGACAGCAGCCCCCCCCCCUUUUUAUUUUUUGAAACAGCCGGUGGCUUCCAAGAGCCACCGCCGCCGCCACACCGGACCACCGGCCACGAGACCGGUCCCAAUCGAACCGCCACCUCCUCCUCUCUCUUCCCCGGCCAGCACAGCCCUCGGAGCCGAUGAAUCCCGCCGGAAAACGCAGAAAAUCGCAGUGUUUUUGACAGAUUUUCCAAGGCUUCGUUCUCCCUCAUUUCUCCACCAAAUUGGACGAGUGAGCUGCAGAGGAAGAUUCCAGAUCACGAUAAGAACAUCAUUUUAAACAGAGGCCUGGAUUUGUAUGAAAAAGGCUUUGCAUAUGAUGAUGAGCCACUCUAUCAAUGCCAUCAAUACAAGAAGUGAAACGUAUAUCAAUACAAGAAGUGUAACAAAAAUGAUGAUACACAGGGUCAAAGGGCAUAAUUUUUAUGAACUGAAGUGAAACGUAUAUCAAUACAAGAAGUUUUACAUAAA
Long non-coding RNA from Prunus avium (sweet cherry), 487 nucleotides. RefSeq lists it as uncharacterized. Lineage: Eukaryota; Viridiplantae; Streptophyta; Magnoliopsida; Rosales; Rosaceae. The record is from RefSeq and is a predicted model, not a curated record.